ACAGGGCUAGGCAUGCAACUUCACGGUAGACAGAAUCUAAUCAUUCAGUAGUCAUAUCGAUAUCAUUAUCAAGCUAUAUUUUUAGUCAAUCAGAAUCCGAUAUCGAAAACUGAGGUUUUACAUUGAUGGUUUUCAAUUAUUGAUCAUGGAUAUUCAAAGUAUAAUAGAGUGUUUUUCAUGCAACCUCUCGUAGAGGGUGUGACAAGAACACAACCUUUUCUCUUAGGGAAGAAUGAAAAUGAAAACUUUAUAUUUCGAAUGGUCUCUUUACCUACUACUCCUUCCGAUGUGUCUGAAGAGACUGCUGAUUACUUUCAACUUCUUUUUCCUAAUAAAGAACCCCUCUAAUUCCACAAG
Molecule: long non-coding RNA, 357 nt
Organism: Coccinella septempunctata (seven-spotted ladybird)
Lineage: Eukaryota; Metazoa; Arthropoda; Insecta; Coleoptera; Coccinellidae
Exons: 2
Source: RefSeq, a predicted model, not a curated record